GAAAAGAAACUAACAAGGAUUCCCCUAGUAACGGCGAGUGAAGCGGGAAGAGCUCAAAUUUGAAAUCUGGUAGCCUUCGGCUGCCCGAGUUGUAAUCUAGAGAAGUGUUUUCCGUGCCGGCCCAUGUACAAGUCCCUUGGAACAGGGCGUCAUAGAGGGUGAGAAUCCCGUCCUUGACAUGGACCCCCGGUGCUUUGUGAUACACUUUCAACGAGUCGAGUUGUUUGGGAAUGCAGCUCAAAAUGGGUGGUGAAUUCCAUCUAAAGCUAAAUAUUGGCGAGAGACCGAUAGCGAACAAGUACCGUGAGGGAAAGAUGAAAAGCACUUUGGAAAGAGAGUUAAACAGUACGUGAAAUUGUUGAAAGGGAAACGAUUGAAGUCAGUCAUGCUCUUUGGAUUCAGCCGUUCUGCGGUGUAUUUCCAUUGAGUGGGGUCAACAUCAGUUUUGACCGCUGGAUAAAGGCACUAGGAAGGUAGCACUCUCGGGUGAACUUAUAGCCUAGCGUCAUAUACAGUGGUUGGGACUGAGGAACGCAGCAUGCCUUUAUGGCCGGGAUUCGUCCACGUACAUGCUUAGGAUAUUGACAUAAUGGCUUUAAACGACCCG
RNAcentral lists this ribosomal RNA (607 nucleotides) under Naganishia uzbekistanensis. RNAcentral's name for it is "eukaryotic LSU rRNA". It matches the Rfam family "Eukaryotic large subunit ribosomal RNA", at positions 56 to 651 of the family's 3401-position model. Lineage: Eukaryota; Fungi; Basidiomycota; Tremellomycetes; Filobasidiales; Filobasidiaceae. The record is from RNAcentral.